RNAcentral lists this ribosomal RNA (253 nucleotides) under uncultured bacterium. RNAcentral describes it as "partial 16S ribosomal RNA". It matches the Rfam family "Bacterial small subunit ribosomal RNA", at positions 524 to 776 of the family's 1533-position model. The record is from RNAcentral.
UACGGGGGGGGCAAGCGUUGUUCGGAAUUACUGGGCGUAAAGGGCGUGUAGGCGGCCAACUAAGUCCGACGUGAAAUCCCCAGGCUUAACCUGGGAACUGCAUUUGUGACUGCAUCGCUAGAGUACGGCAGAGGGGGAUGGAAUUCCGCGUGUAGCAGUGAAAUGCGUAGAUAUGCGGAGGAACACCGAUGGCGAAGGCAAUCCCCUGGGCCUGUACUGACGCUCAUGCACGAAAGCGUGGGGAGCAAACAGG